GACGAACGCUGGCGGCGUGCCUAACACAUGCAAGUCGAGCGGGGUUGAAGCGAGGGGUAACUCGGACUUCUACCUAGCGGCGGACGGGUGCGUAACGCGUAUGCAACAUACCUUGUGCAGGGGGAUAGCCCGUGGAAACGCGGAUUAAUAUUCCAUAGUCCAGCUAUAUCGCAUGGUAUAGUUGGUAAAGAUUUAUCGGCACAAGUUUGGCAUGCGUCUGAUUAGCUUGUUGGUAGGGUAACGGCCUACCAAGGCUACGAUCAGUAGGGGUUCUGAGAGGAUUAACCCCCACACUGGUACUGAGACACGGACCAGACUCCUACGGGAGGCAGCAGUGAGGAAUAUUGGUCAAUGGGCGGAAGCCUGAACCAGCCAUCCCGCGUGAAGGAAGACAGCCUUACGGGUUGUAAACUUCUUUUCUGUCAGAAGAAUAAGCUUGUCGAGACGAGUGAUGCCGGUAUGACAGGAAUAAGCAUCGGCUAACUCCGUGCCAGCAGCCG
RNAcentral lists this ribosomal RNA (500 nucleotides) under uncultured bacterium. Its description in RNAcentral is "bacterial SSU rRNA". It matches the Rfam family "Bacterial small subunit ribosomal RNA", at positions 28 to 517 of the family's 1533-position model. The record is from RNAcentral.